GCACUGGUAGUUCAGUGGUAGAAUUCUUGCCUUCUAUGCUGGAGACCUGGGUUCGAUUCCCAGCCAAUGCA
Molecule: transfer RNA, 71 nt
Filed under: Trichechus manatus latirostris (Florida manatee)
Lineage: Eukaryota; Metazoa; Chordata; Mammalia; Sirenia; Trichechidae
Description: tRNA-Arg (TCT) (tRNA-Arg-TCT-22-1)
Rfam family: tRNA
About the family: Transfer RNA (tRNA) molecules are approximately 80 nucleotides in length.
Source: Rfam by way of RNAcentral